Non-coding RNA from Ornithorhynchus anatinus (platypus), 138 nucleotides. Lineage: Eukaryota; Metazoa; Chordata; Mammalia; Monotremata; Ornithorhynchidae. The record is from Rfam.
CCCCUCUCCGGGUCGCACCUGGAUAGUUUCCAGUACUCUAUCAGUCUCGGUUACAGGAGGGAGAGUCAGGCAGAGGCCUACCCAUUCCAUUCCUAGCUUGGCCAGUGGCUAGUGAGUGGAAGGCAAUCUGCUACAAGU